Molecule: long non-coding RNA, 2481 nt
Organism: Acinonyx jubatus (cheetah)
Lineage: Eukaryota; Metazoa; Chordata; Mammalia; Carnivora; Felidae
Exons: 6
Source: RefSeq, a predicted model, not a curated record
ACAUAUACCUCCAGGAGCCAUGCUGAUGAGUGGGGAGCUAAUCCCUUCUUCAGAACACAGCUCAUUUUCAAGUGGCUGCUGCUGUUUUUCCCCCACCCCUCCAGUGCGACAGCCUCAGAGCUGGUGGAAAGGCAGAGCGCAGGCAGCUGGAUAAAUUUGUAGACGUGGAAUUUCUGGAUCAAAUGGUGCUCGGAGAAUUAAAGCUGUCUGGACUCAGUUCCUGGAGUUUUCUAGAAUGGUAUAAGAAGGAAAUGUAAGAGCUGUGAGAGGAGCAGAAAUAAAUAACGCUCGCCAGCCUGUUGCUGGCAGUAGUCUGAUCUAGGGAUUUAAAGGAGGUAGACUGCAACCGUCUCUUGUAGGAGGAGAUUGGAUGAUUGAGAGAGCCCUUGGAAGAGGGGAAGAGGGCUGCAUGCCCAGUGCAUAUUUGCCAUCUAGUGACCAUAGUGACCGGUGCUAUUUGUGCUUCUCAUCCCAGCCAGGCAGACUUGACCUUCACUCCUGACUUCCGCGAUCCCUUCACAACUGCAAGUCAUUUUCCUACAAAACUGGAGUUUGCCUACUCUGCGCCUUUGAGAGUUUGGGAACAGCAUGCAAGUUCACGUCGCCAUCACGUUAUCCUGCCGACUGUCUCAUGUGACGAGACCGACACCCGGGUCGCUUGCUUCUGCCCUUGUUCUUCUGCCUGUUGUCCCCUCUGCAGCCAUUGAGCACACACACGUGUUGUCACGCAAAAGCCGUUUUGCUGUUUUUAUUUGUCUUGUGAAUGUUGUCAUUUGCUUCGUGCGUAUCACGAAUUAGUGUCGUGUACUGCUCAGUGAUCUAAAACUGUCACUAAUUAGAAAUUUGCGUUGAGUCUGGGUAGGAAUGGCACCCAAGCAGAAAAGCAAGAGUGCAGAUGCUAGAAGAGCAAAGAGGGCAAGAAAAGUGAUGUUUGCAGCAAACGAAAUGAAAGUUCUCGAAAUGCUCAAUAAUGGUGAAACCAAGACCUCUCUAGGGCCCUUUUUUUCCUUUUUUUGGCAUUAAUAAAUCUAUGAUUUGCACAAUAAAAAUAAGAUGCUAUUAGGGCCAAUCAAUCGAGGAGCACACUAGAAUCAUCAAGAACAUCAUACAUAACGUGAAAUGCCAACACAGAGACCAUGGAAAAGAUGUGCACGUGUGGCUUCUAACCCAGAGAGAGCUGCAUAGGCCUCCUCCUGUAUGCGUAAUCUGCCAGCGAGCAUCACAAAAACGCAAGUUUCAAUUUUCAUCUGGACAAAAGGUUACAACAUUCACUGUGAGUAAAGGGUGGUUGGCUAGGUUUAAGAAAUGCUGUGGUCUGUCUGAAAAGAAAUGGUCGGCAGAGGAAGCAGAUCGUGAGGCUGCUGCUGGCUACCCUGAAUACCUGAGGGAACGGAUUGAGGGAAAUGGCUGUUUUUUCAGUGCUGACGAAAUGGCCCUGUUCAGGAAGUACAUGCCUACUUGCACACCUUUUGCAGAGGAUGAGAAAAAGACCAGAGGCUUCAAGCCUGGAAAGGACAAGCUCAAAGUUCUGUUUCGUUCCAACGGUUCUGGUGAUUGAUUAAACCCACAUUGCUUCACAGAUUGCGAAGUCCUUGCCCUCUUAAAAGAGAAUGCUAGAAACACUUUUCUGUUUACAUGAAGGGAAACCAUAAAGUAGGGAUCACUGAGAAACUCUUUUUGGGCCAGUUUUUGAAGUCUUCAUUCCUGAGGUUAGACAAUAUUUAAACCAAAAAAAACAAAAAACAAAAAACAAAAAACCUUGAAUUCAAAGUUGCUGCUUUUGGACACCUGCUCCUACUGCCAAAAGUGCGAUAGUAAAUGCUGAUCCUUGUGUUCCAGUCACCUCCACCCCCCAGUACAACUCCACUCCUUCAACCCAAGCAUCUGGGAGUGCUGAAAAUUGUUUGUGAGGUACUGUACUUGGCGUAUAUUUGAUUACCUUGCAGAUCGUAUGAGAGAGACGCCAGAACUGACUGUGAAAGUAGCUUGACAAAAUUUCCCCAUUUGUAAUGCUUUAACAAUAGUGGAAGAAUCAAUGCGAAAAAUAACACAGGCAACCCUUAAUGGAGCCUGGCACAAACUUGGGAAUGAGGUUGUAAUGGACUCUGAAAGUUUUCUCCCAGUGGUAGACGAAAUUGAAAAGGUUGUAGCAUCUGCAAAACAUUUGGGUGGUGAAGGAUUUGAAGACAUUGAUUUAAGUGACAUUUUGCUGAAGUGUUAGAUUCUCACCCUCAGAAGAUAGUUGAGAACUUUUUCAGAGAUGUGAUCACAUCAAAAGUUGAUACCACAGGUCAGCAUAGGUUAACAUCCAGAACUCAAAGAAUGUAGGAGCAGCUGUUCCACAAGUCAAAUUGCUGUGAUGAUUCAGAGGAGAGAGAUCUUUCGAUGGAAUAUUUAUUGACCUGAAGGCAAGAUUUAAACGAUUACCCACAACCCUAUAAAGCAGUAAUAAGAAACCUUCAAAUGAAGGCCAGUAAGUCU